RNAcentral lists this ribosomal RNA (2062 nucleotides) under Drosophila erecta. Its description in RNAcentral is "eukaryotic LSU rRNA". The stretch from base 280 to 2062 matches the Rfam family "Eukaryotic large subunit ribosomal RNA", at positions 1 to 2087 of the family's 3401-position model. Lineage: Eukaryota; Metazoa; Arthropoda; Insecta; Diptera; Drosophilidae. The record is from RNAcentral.
AAAAUGCUGUGUAAUGGCGGGCACAACAAAAAAAACUUCGAAUAUUGGAGAUCGAAGAUAUCAAAUUCGAAAAUGGAAAUCGAAUUAUAACUUUAAAAUCUAGAAAUGUCUCUUAUUAAUGAUUCGGAAAUAUAAAAAACUUGGUUAUGUUAUUAUUCUUCGUUGGUUCGUUUAAUGGAAAACACUUUGCUACAAGAAAUAAUUGAAAUUUUAUAACGAAUUUAAUAAAAUGUUUUUAUCAUUAUAUAUAAAGAAUUAAUGGCAAGAACAAGUUAUAUACAACCUCAACUCAUAUGGGACUACCCCCUGAAUAUUAAUUAGGGGAGGAAAAGACUCUAACAAGGAUUUUCUUAGUAGCGGCGAGCGAAAAGAAAACAGUUCAGCACUAAGUCACUUUGUCUAUAUGGCAAAUGUGAGAUGCAGUGUAUGGAGCGUCAAUAUUCUAGUAUGAGAAAUUAACGCAUAAAAGCUGCCAGGCCUGUAUAAAGUUAAUGAUUACUAGAUGAUGUUUCCAAAGAGUCGUGUUGCUUGAUAGUGCAGCACUAAGUGGGUGGUAAACUCCAUCUAAAACUAAAUAUAACCAUGAGACCGAUAGUAAACAAGUAAACAAAUAAUUAUCAUUGAUUUUUGUGUUUAUUAUAUGCACUUGUAUGAUUAACAAUGCGAAAGAUUUAGGAUACCUUCGGGACCCAUCUUGAAACACGGACCAAGGAGUCUAGCAUAUGUGCAAGUUAUUGAGAUAUAAACCUAAUAGCGUAAUUAACUUGACUAAUAAUGGGAUUAGUUUUUUAACUAUUUAUAGCUAAUUAACACAAUCCCGGGGCGUUCUAUAUAGUUAUGUAUAAUGUAUAUUUAUAUUAUUUAUGCCUCUAACUGGAAAGUACCUUGAGCAUAUAUGCUGUGACCCGAAAGAUGGUGAACUAUACUUGAUCAGGUUGAAGUCAGGGGAAACCCUGAUGGAAGACCGAAACAGUUCUUGCAAAUCGAUUGUCAGAAUUGAGUAUAGGGGCGAAAGACCCUAUCCGAAGCUAUCCGAAAGGGUAGCUGGUGCAUUUUAAUAUUAUAUAAUAUCUUAUCUGGUAAAGCGAAUGACCUUAGGGUCGAAACGAUCUUAACCUAUUCUCAAACUUUAAGUGGGUAAGAACCUUAACUUUCUUGAUAUGAAGUUCAAGGUUAUGAUAUAAUGUGCCCAGUGGGCUACUUUUGGUAAGCAGAACUGGCGCUGUGGGAUGAACCAAACGUAAUGUUACGGUGCCCAAAUUAACAACUCAUGCAGAUACCAUGAAAGGCGUUGGUUGCUUAAAACAACAGGACGGUGAUCAUGGAAGUCGAAAUCCGCUAAGGAGUGUGUAACAACUCAUCUGCCGAAGCAACUAGCCCUUAAAAUGGAUGGCGCUUAAGUUGUAUACCUAUACAUUACCGCUAAAGUAAAUUAUUUAUAUUACUUGUGAUAUAAAUUUUGGAACUUUAGUGAGUAGGAAGGUACAAUGACGCGCAUGAAUGGAUUAACGAGAUUGCUACUGUCCCUAUCUACUUACUUGUGGCAGAGCUUUUUCGCCGGCCGAAGAGCAGUAAUCCGAAGCGGUUCCGGUGCAGUGAAUGUCGCGGUAACUAGAGGUUGCCGGCAGGGGUUAAUCAGCGGCCCAUUUAUUUGGGACAUGCUCAUGGACGUACUGCUUCAGCGCCUCGAGCCGUAUUGCCUGCUAAGUGCAUACGCGGAUGAUCUGCUUCUUCUCAUCGAUGGAAAUUCCCGAGCCGUUCUAGAGGAAAAAGGAGCGCAACUGAUGUCCAUCGUUGAAACGUGGGGAGCGGAAAUAGGCGUUGCCGUUUCAACCAGCAAGACGGUAAUAAUGCUGCUCAAAGGUGCCUUGAGACGUGCGCCUACGGUAAGAUUCGCUGGAGCGAACCUGCCGUAUGUGCGUAGCUGUCGGUACCUUGGCAUCACGGUCAGUGAAGGAAUGAAAUUCCUCACGCACAUAGCUCUGCUUUGCCAGCGGAUGACCGGAGUCGUCGACUGGGGCAUCAGUCAUCGAGCCAGGCGGACCAUAUAUGCGGGACUCAU